This 225-nucleotide ribosomal RNA is filed under the name uncultured Acinetobacter sp. RNAcentral's name for it is "partial 16S ribosomal RNA". It matches the Rfam family "Bacterial small subunit ribosomal RNA", at positions 568 to 792 of the family's 1533-position model. Lineage: Bacteria; Pseudomonadati; Pseudomonadota; Gammaproteobacteria; Moraxellales; Moraxellaceae. The record is from RNAcentral.
UGCGUAGGCGGCUUUUUAAGUCAGAUGUGAAAUCCCCGAGCUUAACUUGGGAAUUGCAUUCGAUACUGGUAAGCUAGAGUAUGGGAGAGGAUGGUAGAAUUCCAGGUGUAGCGGUGAAAUGCGUAGAGAUCUGGAGGAAUACCGAUGGCGAAGGCAGCCAUCUGGCCUAAUACUGACACUGAGGGGCGAAAGCAAGGGGAGCAAACAGGAUUAGAUACCCCGGUA